UGGGGAAUAUUGCACAAUGGGGGAAACCCUGAUGCAGCGACGCCGCGUGAACGAAGAAGGUAUUCGUAUCGUAAAGUUCUGUCCUAUGGGAAGAUAAUGACAGUACCAUAGAAGAAAGCUCCGGCUAAAUACGUGCCAGCAGCCGCGGUAAUACGUAUGGAGCGAGCGUUGUCCGGAAUUAUUGGGCGUAAAGGGUACGCAGGCGGUUUAAUAAGUCGAAUGUUAAAGAUCGGGGCUCAACCCCGUAAAGCAUUGGAAACUGAUAAACUUGAGUAGUGGAGAGGAAAGUGGAAUUCCUAGUGUAGUGGUGAAAUACGUAGACAUUAGGAGGAAUACCAGUAGCGAAGGCGACGUUCUGGACACAAACUGACGCUGAGGUACGAAAGCGUGGGGAGCAAACAGG
This 403-nucleotide ribosomal RNA is filed under the name bacterium. Its description in RNAcentral is "partial 16S ribosomal RNA". It matches the Rfam family "Bacterial small subunit ribosomal RNA", at positions 355 to 776 of the family's 1533-position model. The record is from RNAcentral.